RNAcentral lists this ribosomal RNA (492 nucleotides) under uncultured bacterium. Its description in RNAcentral is "partial 16S ribosomal RNA". It matches the Rfam family "Bacterial small subunit ribosomal RNA", at positions 29 to 507 of the family's 1533-position model. The record is from RNAcentral.
AGUGAACGCUGGCGGUAGGCCUAACACAUGCAAGUCGAACGGCAGCACAGUAAGAGCUUGCUCUUACGGGUGGCGAGUGGCGGACGGGUGAGGAAUACAUCGGAAUCUACUUUUUCGUGGGGGAUAACGUAGGGAAACUUACGCUAAUACCGCAUACGACCUACGGGUGAAAGCAGGGGAUCUUCGGACCUUGCGCGAUUGAAUGAGCCGAUGUCGGAUUAGCUAGUUGGCGGGGUAAAGGCCCACCAAGGCGACGAUCCGUAGCUGGUCUGAGAGGAUGAUCAGCCACACUGGAACUGAGACACGGUCCAGACUCCUACGGGAGGCAGCAGUGGGGAAUAUUGGACAAUGGGCGCAAGCCUGAUCCAGCCAUACCGCGUGGGUGAAGAAGGCCUUCGGGUUGUAAGGCCCUUUUGUUGGGAAAGAAAAGCAGCAGGUUGAUACCCCGCUGUUCUGACGGUACCCAAAGAAUAAGCACCGGCUAACUUCGUG